GGCUGGGGCGGGGGGCGGCGGGCGAAGGCGCGCGCCCAUUUGAGGUCGAAUAGAGGACUCGACAAAGGCUUUGCCAGGGAAGGGGGGGACAGGGCGAUGUGUAACCUUGCACAGGAGAAGUGAGCGCGGGGGGAGCGCGAUGGCGAGGGGCAAGUGCGGCGGGCUAACAAAGGGCCAUCCAGCCGCGGGCGGGCGGGGGGCGCCCCCCGGCCCCGGGCCCCCUUACCUGGUGAGGUUUGCCAGCUCAGGCCUCCGAUAAACAUUUUGCUGGAAGAAGAAAACAGGACAGAGUUAAGCACAGAUGUCAGAUCGGCCAUUUUGACGGCCAAGGUGUGGGAUUUUAAAGGGACAUUUUCAAGAUAAAACUCCCGGGGCCAAUUCUUCUGCCAGGCUUAAGCAACUCCGAGGAAUAUAAUCACAACGGAGGAAAGAAUUUGGAUUUAUGUCUUUGAAAAGAUCUCGCUCGUGUUACCAGUAACAUCCUAGAGAAUUAAAAGUCACAUUAAUUUU
Molecule: long non-coding RNA, 510 nt
Organism: Gavialis gangeticus (Gharial)
Lineage: Eukaryota; Metazoa; Chordata; Crocodylia; Gavialidae
Exons: 2
Source: RefSeq, a predicted model, not a curated record